GAUGAAGAACGUAGCGAAAUGCGAUAAGUAAUGUGAAUUGCAGAAUUCAGUGAAUCAUAGAAUCUUUGAACGCACCUUGCACCCUUUGGCAUUCCGAAGGGUAUGCUCGUUUGAGUGUCAUUGUACUCUCACUCUCCCGAUGCUUUUGGAUCGGGAGUGGUGGACUUGGGUGUUGCUGCUUUGCUGUGGCUCGCCUCAAAUGGAGUAGUGCAACUCUUGGUUGGACAUAGUACGGCGUGAUAAGUGUCUUCGCCGGCGCCUCAUUAUAGGGGGUGGCCGAUCGGGAGCUCUGUGCUUCAAACCGUCUUCGGACAACAUCUGACAACUUGACCUCAAAUCGAGUAGGACUACCCGCUGAACUUAAGCAUAUCAAUAAGCGGAGGA
Molecule: unclassified non-coding RNA, 384 nt
Filed under: soil metagenome
Description: partial contains 5.8S ribosomal RNA, internal transcribed spacer 2, and large subunit ribosomal RNA
Rfam family: 5.8S ribosomal RNA (bases 1-120)
Source: RNAcentral